CCCUUAGACGUUCUGGGCCGCACGCGCGCUACACUGACCAGUGCAACAAGCAUCCGUCCUUGGCCGACAGGCCCGGGCAAUCUUUGAACGCUGGUCGUGAUGGGGAUAGACUUUUGCAAUUUUUGGUCUUCAACGAGGAAUUCCUAGUAAACGCAAGUCAUCAACUUGCAUUGAUUACGUCCCUGCCCUUUGUACAAACCGCCCGUCGCACCUACCGAUUGAAUGGUCCGGUGAAGCCUCCGGAUUGGCGCGCACCUCGGUGCCGCCGAGAAGUUGGCUAAACCUUACCAUUUAGAGGAAGGUGAAGUCGUAACA
Molecule: ribosomal RNA, 315 nt
Filed under: uncultured eukaryote
Lineage: Eukaryota
Description: partial 18S ribosomal RNA
Rfam family: Eukaryotic small subunit ribosomal RNA
Source: RNAcentral